This 28-nucleotide non-coding RNA is filed under the name Bombyx mori (domestic silkworm). Lineage: Eukaryota; Metazoa; Arthropoda; Insecta; Lepidoptera; Bombycidae. The record is from RNAcentral.
UCCUCCAGCACCACAUCUCAAACGCGUC